UACGUAGGUGGCAAGCGUUAUCCGGAAUUAUUGGGCGUAAAGAGCGCGCAGGUGGUUGAUUAAGUCUGAUGUGAAAGCCCACGGCUUAACCGUGGAGGGUCGUUGGAAACUGGUCGACUUGAGUGCAGAAGAGGGAAGUGGAAUUCCAUGUGUAGCGGUGAAAUGCGUAGAGAUAUGGAGGAACACCAGUGGCGAAGGCGGCUUCCUGGUCUGUAACUGACACUGAGGCGCGAAAGCGUGGGGAGCAAACAGGAUUAGAUACCCU
RNAcentral lists this ribosomal RNA (265 nucleotides) under uncultured prokaryote. RNAcentral describes it as "partial 16S ribosomal RNA". It matches the Rfam family "Bacterial small subunit ribosomal RNA", at positions 524 to 788 of the family's 1533-position model. The record is from RNAcentral.